Molecule: ribosomal RNA, 90 nt
Filed under: Salvator merianae (Argentine black and white tegu)
Lineage: Eukaryota; Metazoa; Chordata; Lepidosauria; Squamata; Teiidae
Source: RNAcentral
GGCUACUGCAUUACAGUCUUGUCUGCAGGAUCAGGCCUGAUUAGUGAACAUGGAUGGGAGACCACCAAGAGAUCCCAGGUUCGGUAGACU